This 118-nucleotide ribosomal RNA is filed under the name Diaphorina citri (Asian citrus psyllid). Lineage: Eukaryota; Metazoa; Arthropoda; Insecta; Hemiptera; Psyllidae. The record is from RNAcentral.
GCCAGUAGCGAUAGUACGUUGAAUACACAAGUUUCUAAUAGGUCACUGAAAUCAAGCAACGCUGCGCGUGGUUAGUAUCGGGAUGGAUGACCUUCUGGAUCAUCACGUGCUGAUGUCU